ACUUUCCUUUAGUAGCGUGCCUCUGAGUUAGUUACUGAAUAUAACCUUCAGUUCAGGCCCAGAGUCUGAAAAUGUUCCCAGUGAUGAAACUACUGGGGAGGAUUAUUCACCUCUGAAUGGCAUCCCUUGUCUGGAAUUCAAAUUCAUCCAAGUUGUUUCUAUAGCUCUUCAACAACUUGAAGCCAUGGUUUUUUGCAUGUCUGACAACGAUGACUUCACCUGGACCCACCCGCCGCUCCUGUGGCCCCACACAGAAGUGAUCCGGCACACAUGAGAACCAUUUCCUACACCCUUAUGACUGCACCCCAACCAAUCAGCAGCAAGCUCCCAUUGCCUAGCUACCCCUCCUCUUCCUCCAAACUAUCUUUGGAAAACCCUAGCCUCUGAAUUUUCAGGGAGGCUGAUUUGAGUACAAAUAAAAUUCUGAUCUCUUGUUUA
Macaca mulatta (Rhesus monkey) is the source of this 438-nucleotide non-coding RNA. The record is from RefSeq and is a predicted model, not a curated record. NCBI's taxonomy places the organism in Eukaryota, Metazoa, Chordata, Mammalia, Primates, Cercopithecidae.